AGAGUUUGAUCCUGGCUCAGGAUAAACGCUGGCGGCAUGCCUAAUACAUGCAAGUCGAACGAACAUAGUAAUAUGUUAGUGGCGAACGGGUGAGUAACACGUAAGUAACCAACCUUCAAGACGAGGAUAACCACUGGAAACGGUAGCUAAAACUGGAUAGGAUGUCUGAUCAUAAGAUGAGAUAUUUAAAAGCGCUGAAAGGCGCUACUUGAAGCUGGGCUUGCGGCGCAUUAGAUAGUUGGUGAGGUAACGGCCCACCAAGUCAACGAUGCGUAGCAGCGCUGAGAGGCGGAACUGCCACACUGGGACUGAGACACGGCCCAGACUCCUACGGGAGGCAGCAGUAGGGAAUUUUCGGCAAUGGGGGAAACCCUGACCGAGCAAUGCCGCGUGAAUGAAGAAGGUCUUCGGAUUGUAAAGUUCUGUUAUUGGGAAAGAAUAUCAUAUUCAGGAAAUGGGAUAUGAAUGACGGUACCCGAUAGAAG
RNAcentral lists this ribosomal RNA (485 nucleotides) under uncultured bacterium. RNAcentral describes it as "bacterial SSU rRNA". It matches the Rfam family "Bacterial small subunit ribosomal RNA", at positions 8 to 490 of the family's 1533-position model. The record is from RNAcentral.